AUUUGAACCCAUAUAUAAGGAAUCACUUCAAUGAACUAUAUUAGUUACUGAUUUGUAAAAGACUUGGACAUUUCACUUUCUUCUAAAUUUGAACAGCCUGUCUUCACAAUGCUCGGUAAACUGUUACUCCUGCUGUUCGCUCUUGUAUGCCUGCUGGUACUGACACAGGCCACGCCCUACUUCUACAGACGAUACCAUUACAGACCUUAUGUACGAUACCAUGGCUAUGGCGGCGGCAACUACUUUUACGACGGCGGAAAUGACGACUUCAACGGCGGAUACUGGGAUUAGAGAAGCAGACGACAUAAAAAGAGCGCGAAAAUAAAACUUAAUUAGAAUUAUCGUUUUAUGUGAACAUUGCUUAUAAAGUAAAAUUAAAAAUAAAUGCUGGCGACACUGACAAAAUACAUUUGAAACUUAUCUCAACUGAUUCAAACAAAGGUCAAAUGUUGAAGAUCUAAAAUUAAGAAACAGUUUGAAUAAAAAGACAGUUCCUGUUCGCGUUAUAUUUCGAUAUUACUACUAUAUAUGUAUCAAGAUGUAAAACAAAAUAAACGAGUUUUAUAUACACA
Mercenaria mercenaria is the source of this 572-nucleotide long non-coding RNA. RefSeq lists it as uncharacterized. Lineage: Eukaryota; Metazoa; Mollusca; Bivalvia; Venerida; Veneridae. The transcript has 3 exons. The record is from RefSeq and is a predicted model, not a curated record.